AGUUUGAUCCUGGCUCAGAAUGAACGUUGGCGGCGUGGAUUAGGCAUGCAAGUCGCGCGAUAAGCUCCCGCAAGGGAGUGGAAAGCGGCGAAAGGGACAGUAAUGCGUAGAUAACCUACCCCCGGGACCGGGAUAGCUGCGGGAAACUGCAAUUAAUACCGGAUAACGUCUCCGGACCAAAUGGUGUGAUUCCGCCAGGGGAUGGGUCUGCGUCCUAUUAGCUAGUUGGCGUGGUAACGGCACACCAAGGCAAAGAUGGGUAGCAGGUGUGAGAGCACGACCUGCGUCACUGGGACUGAGACACUGCCCAGACACCUACGGGUGGCUGCAGUCGAGGAUCUUCGGCAAUGGGCGCAAGCCUGACCGAGCGACGCCGCGUGCGGGAUGAAGGCCUUCGGGUUGUAAACCGCUGUCAGAGAGGCGGAAAUAUAGGGGGGUUCUCCCUUCUAUUUGACCUAUUCUCAGAGGAAGUGCGGGCUAAGUCCGUGCCAGCAGCCGCGGUAACACGGACCGCACGAACGUUAUUCGGUAUCACUGGGCUUAAAGGGUGCGUAGGCGGCUUGGCAAGUUGGGUGUGAAAGCCCUCGGCUCAACCGAGGAAUUGCGCUCAAUACUGCCGAGCUCGAGAGAGACAGAGGUAA
Molecule: ribosomal RNA, 641 nt
Filed under: uncultured bacterium
Lineage: Bacteria
Description: bacterial SSU rRNA
Rfam family: Bacterial small subunit ribosomal RNA
Source: RNAcentral